This 205-nucleotide unclassified non-coding RNA is filed under the name soil metagenome. RNAcentral's name for it is "partial contains 5.8S ribosomal RNA, internal transcribed spacer 2, and large subunit ribosomal RNA". The record is from RNAcentral.
AAGACUAUAGACCUGCGGAGUACCUGCGGAAGGAUCAUUACCGAGUGUCGGGCCCCCCCCGGGGGUCCACCCUCCCACCCGUGUUUACCGUCCCUGUUGCUUCGGCGGGCCCCCGCGCUCGCCGGAGACCCUCCACGAACCCUGUGUGAAGGUUGUCGUCUGAGUGGAUUGACCCAAUCGUUAAAACUUUCAACAACGGAUCUCU